This 385-nucleotide ribosomal RNA is filed under the name uncultured soil bacterium. Its description in RNAcentral is "bacterial SSU rRNA". It matches the Rfam family "Bacterial small subunit ribosomal RNA", at positions 26 to 412 of the family's 1533-position model. The record is from RNAcentral.
AGAUUGAACGCUGGCGGCAUGCCUUACACAUGCAAGUCGAACGGCAGCACGGGAGCAAUCCUGGUGGCGAGUGGCGAACGGGUGAGUAAUACAUCGGAACGUGCCCAAUCGUGGGGGAUAACGCAGCGAAAGCUGUGCUAAUACCGCAUAAGAUCUACGGAUGAAAGCAGGGGAUCGCAAGACCUUGCGCGAAUGGAGCGGCCGAUGGCAGAUUAGGUAGUUGGUGAGGUAAAGGCGUCACCAAGCCUUCGAUCUGUAGCUGGUCUGAGAGGACGACCAGCCACACUGGGACUGAGACACGGCCCAGACUCCUACGGGAGGCAGCAGUGGGGAAUUUUGGACAAUGGGCGAAAGCCUGAUCCAGCCAUGCCGCGUGCAGGAUGAA